Molecule: ribosomal RNA, 428 nt
Filed under: uncultured bacterium
Lineage: Bacteria
Description: bacterial SSU rRNA
Rfam family: Bacterial small subunit ribosomal RNA
Source: RNAcentral
UCGAACGAGAUCUUCGGAUCUAGUGGCGCACGGGUGCGUAACGCGUGGNAAUCUGCCCNUGGGUUCGGAAUAACAGUUAGAAAUGACUGCUAAUACNCGGAUGAAGUCUACGGACCAAAGAUUUAUCGCCCANGGGAUGAGCCCGCGUAGGAUUAGCUAGUUGGUGGGGUAAAGGCCCACCAAGGCGACGAUCAGUAGCUGGUCUGAGAGGACGAUCAGCCACACUGGGACUGAGACACGGCCCAGACUCCUACGGGAGGCAGCAGUGGGGAAUUUUGGACAAUGGGGGCAACCCUGAUCCAGCAAUGCCGCGUGUGUGAAGAAGGCCUUCGGGUUGUAAAGCACUUUUGUCCGGAAAGAAAUCGCGCUGGUUAAUACCUGGCGUGGAUGACGGUACCGGAAGAAUAAGCACCGGCUAACUACGUGCC